GGAUGUGAGGGUGACCUACCUAUGGCAUCUGUUAGCCCAUUAAUACCCAGGGUUCAUUCUGUAGACCUAGCAGGCUAGGCGAAUGCCCCUUCCCUCCAUUACUGCUCCAUGUAUGUCCCUCCUACAGCUGUGAAUUGGAGACCUUUAGACCAGUUUGUCUAAGAGGACAACUUUCUAUGAGACAGAGAAACCCAUAGCUGUGCUAGAACCUCCAGACAAGUUCUCAAGAAUGUCAGCAUUACAUCAGUUGUCAGUAGGUACCUUCAAGAGUCAAAAGACAGCAUAUACAUAUGUAGUGUUUAGCU
This 305-nucleotide small nuclear RNA is filed under the name Erinaceus europaeus (western European hedgehog). Its description in RNAcentral is "7SK RNA". It matches the Rfam family "7SK RNA". From Rfam's summary of the family: 7SK was discovered as an abundant small nuclear RNA in the mid-70s but a possible function has only recently been suggested. Two independent studies have found that 7SK RNA binds the CDK9/cyclin T complex (known as elongation factor P-TEFb). P-TEFb activates transcription by phosphorylating the C-terminal domain of RNA polymerase II. The record is from Rfam by way of RNAcentral. Lineage: Eukaryota; Metazoa; Chordata; Mammalia; Eulipotyphla; Erinaceidae.